AAGUGUUAUCCGGAAUCACUGGGCGUAAAGCGUCUGUAGGUGGUUUGAUGAGUCAACUGUUAAAUCUUGAGGCUCAACUUCAAAAUCGCAGUCGAGACUAUUAGACUAGAGUAUAGUAGAGGUAAAGGGAAUUUCCAGUGGAGCGGUGAAAUGCGUAGAUAUUGGAAAGAACACCGAUGGCGAAAGCACUUUACUGGGCUAUUACUAACACUCAGAGACGAAAGCUAGGGUAGCAAAUGGGAUUAGAUACCCCAGUAGUCCUAGCUGUAAACUAUGGAUACUAGAUGUUGAACAGAUCGACCUGUGCAGUAUCAAAGCUAACGCGUUAAGUAUCCCGCCUGGGAAGUAUGCACGCAAGUGUGAAACUCAAAGGAAUUGACGGGGGCCCGCACAAGCGGUGGAGCAUGUGGUUUAAUUCGAUGCAACGCGAAGAACCUUACCAGGGUUUGACAUGAUACGAAUUUCUUUGAAAGAAGAAAGUGCCGUUUGGAGCGUAUACACAGGUGGUGCACGGCUGUCGUCAGUUCGUGUCGUGAGAUGUUGGGUUAAGUCCCGCAACGAGCGCAACCCUUGUUUUUAGCUGCCUUUUAUGGAACUCUAAAAAGACUGCUGGUUAUAAACCGGAGGAAGGUGGGGAUGACGUCAAGUCAGCAUGCCCCUUACACCCUGGGCUACACACGUGCUACAUUGGGCGAGA
Molecule: ribosomal RNA, 697 nt
Filed under: Cribroelphidium albiumbilicatum
Lineage: Eukaryota; Foraminifera; Rotaliida; Elphidiidae
Description: SSU rRNA
Rfam family: Bacterial small subunit ribosomal RNA
Source: RNAcentral